This 200-nucleotide ribosomal RNA is filed under the name uncultured bacterium. RNAcentral's name for it is "partial 16S ribosomal RNA". It matches the Rfam family "Bacterial small subunit ribosomal RNA", at positions 328 to 539 of the family's 1533-position model. The record is from RNAcentral.
ACGCUCGACACCUACGGGAGGCAGCAGUGGGGAAUAUUGCACAAUGGAGGAAACUCUGAUGCAGCGAUGCCGCGUGAGGGAAGAAGGUUUUCGGAUUGUAAACCUCUGUCUUUGGGGACGAUAAUGACGGUACCCAAGGAGGAAGCUCCGGCUAACUACGUGCCAGCAGCAGCGGGUAAUCUGAGGCGGGCUGGCAAGGC